AUCACUUCUUGACCUUUUUGACUAAAAUCAAGUGUAAUAUCUGUUCUUAUCAGUUUAAUAUCUAAUACAUGGAUUUUUGGAGCAGGGAGAUGGAAUAGGAGCUUGCUCCAUCCACUCCACACAUGGACCUGGUAUUGCAGUACUCCAGGAUGGUGCAGGCCUC
RNAcentral lists this small nuclear RNA (163 nucleotides) under Sciurus vulgaris (Eurasian red squirrel). Its description in RNAcentral is "U2 spliceosomal RNA (ENSSVLG00005018320.1)". It matches the Rfam family "U2 spliceosomal RNA". Rfam says of the family: U2 is a small nuclear RNA (snRNA) component of the spliceosome (involved in pre-mRNA splicing). The record is from Rfam by way of RNAcentral. Lineage: Eukaryota; Metazoa; Chordata; Mammalia; Rodentia; Sciuridae.